CCGCCGGCGGCGAGCUCGAGACCCCCGCGCGUACCGGGCCGAGCCGGCGGCUGAGGAGAACGAGGCCUGAUGCGGCUGGGGCUGCGCGGCACAGCCGAGCCCUGAGGAAGCGGCCCGCGCUCGCGCGUCCCCCGGCGCCUCGAGCGGGCGCUCCACACUGCCCAACCUGGGCUUGCCUGGGGCAUGAGCGUGCCUGAGACGCCGGGGGAGAUGGAGCCGGCCGGGGAGGAGGAGCGGCCGCCACCGGCGGCCGAGGAAGAGGACGACGAGGAGGAGGUGGCAGCGGCGGCCCCGAGCUCAGGGCCGGCUCGAGGGAGGAGCGCCUCCUCGCAGGAGGACGCGGACGACCAGGAGGAGGAGGAGGAGGCGAUGGUGGUCGGGGGCGGUGGCUGCAAGGAGCAGGAGCUGACCUACGAGCUGCAGCAGGGCUACCGCAUCCUGGGCGAGUUCCUGCAGGAGAAGCACCGGGGCCUGACCGCCCCUUUCCUGCAGCCCUUGGGGGGCGUUGCCGCCAGCGAGGAGGAGGAGGCCGAGGGGCCGCGCAGCGGGAGCCGGGGCAGUCGCGUCCACCCGCAGCAGCCCGGGCAGUGCAUGUGUCUGCUGAAGAUGGAGGAGAAGUUCGCCAGCGGCCAGUACGGGGGCAUCACCGAGUUCGUCGCGGACUUCAGGCUGAUGCUAGAGACGUGCUACCGCCUGCAUGGAGUGGACCACUGGAUCUCCAAACAGGGCCAGAAGCUGGAGAUGAUGCUGGAGCAGAAGUUGGCGCUUCUCUCGCGGCACUUGAGAGAAAAGACAACGAUAGCAGUUACAUCUAGAGGCUAUUAUGGAUUGGAGGAUGAGAAGGGAACUGCAUGUACUUCAACAAGGCGUCGGUCAACACCGCGAAGUUUGGCAGGCUUGACAAGUGGAGUUUUUGAAUCUAUAAUGGUUCAAGUUUUGAGACAGGAAGAACAGCUGAGAGCAAAAGAAGAAAAAAGGCUUCGGGAACAGGAAAGAAAAGAAGCAGAAGAAGCUAGUCAAAAGGAAAUAGAAGAAUGGGAAAGAAAACUUCUAGCUCAAGCAGCUCCAACUUGUAUGGAGACCCUGUGGGAAAUUCCAGCUAUUGGGCAUUUCCUUUGUUUAGCCCAGCAAAUUCUAAAUUUGCCAGAAAUAGUCUUUUAUGAAUUGGAACGUUGUCUUCUGAUGCCUCAGUGUAAUGCAUUUCUAUCUAAAAUAAUGACUUCUCUAUUAAGUCCUCCCCAUCGCAGACCUACCUUACAUCGAAGACCUACUUUGCCUUAUAGGACCUGGGAAGCAGCACUGAGACAGAAAGUACAGCAGUGGUACACUGCUGUAGGGCAGACUGAAAAUCCCGAUAACUGUGCUGAAAAACUUGGAUUGUGUCCUCAGUUUUUUAAAGUUCUUGGAGAAGUUAAUCCAUUGGAAGAAAAACCUUUUCAUGAACUACCUUUCUACCAGAAAGUGUGGUUACUUAAGGGUCUUUGUGACUUUGUGUAUGAAACACAAAAAGAAGUUCAAGAUGCUGUACUUGGACAGCCUAUUCAUGAAUGCAGGGAAGUUAUCCUUGGUUACGAUUAUUUGGAGAAUGCUUACGUACAUUUUCCACAGUUCUGUGGUGCAGAUGUACGGAUUUAUAAACAGAGACCCUUUCAGGCCCCAGAAUUUCCAGUUCCACCUAUUAAAAUACAAAGAGUACCUAGGAUUAAACUGGAGAAAUUGAAGUGUGACUAUGUUAGUACAAGUAAUGGAGAACAUAGAUGUAGUAGAGAAGGCCUGCCCUCUGCCUUCAAGAAAGAGCAGGAAAUUAAUUUUGAUCCAACUUGCUGCCCUGCUAAAAUGAACUUGGAUAAUCAUGACAUCUCUGUUGAAAUGGAAGUGAAAUCCAGCUGUGAAAUUAGAAUUUGCAGGCCUUAUGAAAUUAAAAAAACUGAUUGUUGUAAAGAAAAUUUAGAGAAACCAGGGAGUCCAGGGGAAGUUACUGGCUUUGGAGAGCCUCUCAGUCCAGGUGAAAUAAGGUUUAUAGAAAAUCAAGAAAAAUAUGGUGAAGCUUCCAGAGUAAAGCCUGAACCCAGUCCAUUAAAAGAAAAUGCUCUAAAAUCUUGCCAAAUACAUGUAAAUGGAAGUCACAGUGAUCAUCCAGAAAUUAACUGCCACAAGGUUGUAAGGGAUAUUCUGUUAGAGCAGUCACUGCAGAGCCACAAGAAACUAAAACUAACUAAAAUGAGGGCGAAAAAGAAGAAAAAGAAAAAAAAGAAAUUGAAAGAUGUUUUGAAUGAAAACUUACAGAGAAAGCGUGAAGGUCUUCAUUCUCUUGCAUUCAAGUCUUACAAACCUGAGAUCCAGAAUAAGUUAUUGAUCAUCAAAAAGAAAGCAAAACACAAGAAGCACAAAUCUGGAAAAAAAUCCAUAUCUAAAAAAGCAAUCACAAAGAAGAGGAAAACUGUCACAAAGUCACCUACUGUACCAGAAUUUCAGCUUAUUUGCACUAAUCUUGAUGAACUCAGGGAAUUAAUCACAAAAAUCGAGAAUGAACUCAAAGAUCUGGAAAACAGUAGAAAAAAAUCGGGCAAAUGGUAUCAUCGGAGGCAAGCUGUAAAAGAAUUGCAUAGUACAUUGAUACGUCUUUUAAAUGAAUUACUGCCAUGGGAACCAAAAUUAAUGAAAGCUUUUCAAAGAAACAGGAGCCGCCUAAAGAGAGACUAUGAUGAUUUCAGAAGACAGCCUGAUCAUGAUAAAUUUACUAGAGAACUAUGGACUACUGAAGAAGGUGAAGGAGAUCCUGGAAAAGAAUCUCCUAAAGUAGAAUUCAGUAAGUCUAUAGACUCAACGGAAUCUCUAGAUAUCCUGGAGAAAGAUCACUUUGAUUCAGAUGAUAUGAAAUUGUCAGAAAUAGAUUUUCCUAUGGCCAGAAGCAAGUUGUUGAAAAAGGAAUUGCCUUCUAAAGAUGGACCGAAGACACUGCCUAAAACCCUUAAACGACAGUCCAAACAAACUAGUUAUCUGGAUGAUAGCACAAAAGAGCUUUCCCCAAGAAAGAAAGCAAAGUUAAGCACAACUGAGACAACAGUUGAGAAUGUAGAUGGAAAUUUGCAGAUUGACUGUUUGAAUGAAUCAAAGCAUGCAGAGCCACUGUUUCCAGAGUCAUUUGCCUCAGUGGAAUCAACACCAGUGUCUACUCUCCAGAAAGGGACCAAACCUAUUCAGGCCUUGCUUGCAAAGAAUAUUGGGAACAAAGUGACCUUAACAAAUCAACUGCCUCCUUCCACAGGUAGAAGUGCUCCUGCUGUGGAAAAGCCAGUUAUAUCUCCUCCAGAAGCAAGCCCCAUAAAGCCAGCAUUGACCUGCCACACCAGUACAAAAGGUCCUUUACAGAUGGUAUACAAAAUGCCCUGUGGCCAGUGGUUGCCCAUAGAUCUUCAUAACAGCUCUGUAAAGAUUCAGAUGCAACCUGUGCUGGAUCCUAAAACAGGAGAAAAAAUCAUGCAGCAGGUUCUCAUUCUGCCCAAGAAUUUUGUGAUUCAGCACAAGGAAGGAAAAGCAGUUGCAAAAGAAAUACCACCACUUCAACAAAAAGGUACAGAACAACGUUGUUCAUCUUUCCCACAGACAGCAAAUGUGAACUCUUCUUUAGCAUCAGUUCUUGUCAAUUCAACAGGAAGUGUUUCUACCCAUCUACCUAAUACAGUUUUCAACAAGACGAUUACACCUUUGUCAAAUGUGAGUAGUGGUAGACCACAGCCUUUGUCUCCUGUAACUUCCAUAAAUAAUUUAUUAACACCACCAGUUAAGACUAGCCAGAGUGAAGCAGGAAAAGUCAAGAAUACAGUUUCAGCAGCCACGUUCCCCCAGCCCAUUGCUUCACCUACCAUUUCCUCAACAGUUCAGACUGUUUUAUCAGCAACGACACUAAGUGGAUCUACAAAUCCUGGUAGUUCCCUCAACUGUUUUGCACAACCACCUUCUGAUUGUUCUGAAGCAAAGCAAGAGCUGAAAACUGUAUGUAUAAGAGAUUCACAGUCAAUUCUUGUUAGGACACGAGGUGGAAACACUGGAGUUGUAAAAGUACAGACCAAUCCAGAUCAAAAUUCACCCAACAGUUUAUCUUCAGGUUCAGUUUUCACUUUUGCUCCUCAGCUUCAGGCAUUUCUGCUGCCAAAAUCAACAACUUCUUCAUCUUCUGCUUUUUCACCAGUAGCUGGAACGACUACUACAUCUAGUCUCCCACCUUUUGGCCACACACCCACUUCUAUUUCCAUUCCAGCUGCCUUUAAUCCAUCUGUGGGGAAAAAUCUCAAACUUACAUUAGGCCAGCCUGCCUGCAGUGGUAAUUUGGGCCACAUGAUAGAUAAAACUUCGCACAUCCUUUCUUCUCCUUUGAAGUCCUCUGUUUCUUCUAGCACUCUACUAACAUCAACAGUAAAUAGUUCAGUAAGUGUAAUUAGCAUAUCAACAGGAAAUUUUGGACAAACCAAUGCAAAUAUUAUUCAUACUCCCACUAAACAGCAACAAGUUGAUUAUAUCACAAAAAGUUACCCUGUUACAAGAUCAGAAGCAACAGCAGCAACAAAUGGAGAUGUGAUCAGUGGGACUCCAGUUCAGAAACUUAUGCUAGUGUCAGCUCCGUCUGUUCUUUCUUCUGGCAGUGAAACUGCAAUUAAUGUGACACCUGCACCAACAUCUACAGGUGUUUCUGCCCAGAAGUUAGUUUUUAUUAAUGCUCCAAUUCCCAGUGGCGCUUCAACCCCAACUAUUGUGGCAGAACCAUUAAAACAAACUCUUCCUCCUCCCUUGAAUAAAACAUAUGUUAAGACUCCAGAGCAACCUCAGAUAGUGCUGAUUCCAUCUACAGUGGGAGCACCAAUAAAAAUAAAUUCAUCACCAACUGUGUCUCAGAUAAAAGAUGUGAAAAUUGGGCUAAACAUAGGUCAAGCAAUUGUAAAUACUUCAGGCAGUGUGCCAGCUAUACCAUCAAUUAACAUAUUGCAAAAUGUAACCCCAAAAGGAGAAGAAAAAAGUACCAAGGGCUAUGUUUUGCCAUUGUCAACAAGUGGUAAUUCAAUUCCAGUAAGCUCAAAUAUUGUGAGUCAAAAUAUUACUCCUGUUAAUGAAUCAGUGGUUUCUACAGCGAGAGCAGUAAACAUGUUUUCAGUAACAGGAGCAAAUGUAUCUUUGGGUUCUCUUUCAGUGACCUCAACCUCUGCUUCAGUUGGGACACGACCUCCUGUUUUAGUCAGUGGAAAUGAUACCUCUUCAAGAAUUAUGCCUAUUUUGUCAAAUAGACUUUGCACAUCAAAUCUCGGAAACACUGUGGCUAUAUCAACUGUGAAAACAGGACAUCUUGCGUCAUCUGUUCUGAUUUCAACUACACAACCAACAGUGUCUCCAAAAUGUUUAACAUCAGCUUUGCAAAUCCCUGUUACUGUUGCCUUGCCUACACCUGUGACUGUAUCCCCUAAAAUAAUCAACACAGUUCCACAAGUGGCAACAGUACCAGGAGCCACACGUUCUGUAUCUGUUUCUAAAAGACAGUCUCGGACUUCUGUCCAGUUUCAGUCACCAGGGAUUUCAACUACAGUGCCAACAAAUAUAAAUACAAAUAAACCUCAAACUGAAUUGCCGUCCCUUUCACCAAGCCCAGGAAGGAUAUAUGCACAAGGACCCUAAUGUUGACUGAGGACCCAGGGUGGUUCUGCUCCCCGCCCCAACUCCCAGCGAUAUACCUCAGGGCUAGUUUACAACAUUUUCCCCAACUAUCAGCCCACAAAAAGGAAAUGGAAAUUAAUAUCGACAAUGUCUACCAUAAGGUGGGUGCCAUACUAAGCAUUCUAUACACAUUAGCUUAUUUACUUCUCACAAGAGCCCUGUAAGGUAGGCACCAUUUGUCAUCUCCAUUUCACAGAUGAGGACAUAAAUGCAGAGGUUAAGGGCCUUGCUGAUGGCAUAUAUGGAGAUAGCACAAGAUGGAGCUAGGGUUUCAACUUGAAUCUCUCUCAGUUGUGUUUGUACCCUCUCUACCCAAAACUGCCCCCCUCACUGUUUACCCAUGCCCUCUCUCCAUUCCCGCCCUGACUAGUAUUCUCAUGUUCCUAGUCUCAGCAUCACCCCUCCCGGUAUGAAGGCAAGCCAUCUUGGCUUCUCUCAUAGGCAGCCCUGUGGUGGUAAUCAGCAGUGUGCUUACCUGUGUCUUCCAGAAAAAGAGCUCCCAGAGGAGUUUUUUGGGUUUUGGUUUCUUUGUGUUUUAAUUUGUUUCCUCAAUGCCUAGAAAGGGUCAGGCACAUGGGUGUUUCAGGAAAUAUUUCUUGAAGAUGGAUGGAUGAAUAAAUGGACAGUUGGAUGGAUAGCCAAACAAAUAAAUUACAGGUGAUUACAAAUUCACAUCCUCUCCCCUAUAAUACCAGUCUGUUUGCAAAAUGAAUGAGCCAUUUAAUGUCUUCCUUAAAAUAACUGUUUACAACUAUCUGGAUUUGUGGCAUAAUGUUAGUCCUAAUAUCAUCAUUUUUUUUUUUUUUUUUGCAUCUGCAAUUGGAACUGAAGACCUGAAAUACCAUCUUUAAAGAUUCAUUCCGUUGGUCUAAUAGCUUACUUCUCUAUUACUUUAACCUCUUGUGGGUCAGUGACACUCUAGUGAGAAUGAGGGGAUCAGCAACUUUCCACAGAGCAGUUUUGGAUUAGGGAUGGAGAGAAGGUAAUGAAGAGAAGGAGACAGCAUGGCAACUGGCCACCAAGGGCUCAGAGCUGACUAAAGGGGUGGAAGGAGGACUUGUGGGAUUUAGAGUUCUCUGAAACUAAAACUAUCGCACGGGCUUGCCAGAGCUCAGCCCAGCUGGUAGGACAUGUGUCCCAUGUUUAUGCUUAGCUAGGCAAGCUCCUAUCUGGCCUCCGCUUGCUCCAGGAAUCCCAUGCAGGGUCACCAAGGACCAAACCAGAUGGAACAGUACUGGCUGCUUUUUCUGGUCUCACCUGAGUGUACUGACUGCUUUUUCUGGUCUCAUCUGAGUGGCCUGGAAGAGUCAUCUCAGAACAGAGCUGGGGGUAGAGCCGUGGGGAUGCUGAGACGAGUGGCCUGACCACCCCAGUCUGCAUGACUGCCAAGUCAGAGAGGCUAGCUGACCUCUGGAGUCAAGCACUCAGGAAAGAUUUAGUAAGCACCUCUUGGCAGGCCAGGCAUGGAUUACUCAAAGAGACAGCAUGGAGGCUCGGCUCUGGCCAGAAAUGUCUGAGCUGAACCUAGAGCAAAGCUGUGGCAUCACUUACUGAGAAGUGUCUGCUCCUCAGCAGCAGGAUGCAAUCUGGGCAUCUAAGCCAGCCUCCCCGGCCCUGUGUCCAGUGGCCCGUGGGAAGCGUUAGUUACCACAAAGGCCUUAGAAAUGGGGUCAGGGGCUGUACUUUCCCUGCAUAAUAUUGUCAAUUUGCUAACACCUGCCUGAUUUUCCAUAUCACAGCACGAUCAAAGUGGAGAGUGCUGUCUUUUUUUCUGUGACUUGCUAAUGAAAGGCUCUGCAGAGCUGGGUGGUUUAUAAGAGAUUGAGAAGCUACAGGUGAGGCAAGGUCUAACCGAGGCUUCUCCUUGAGAGACCUUUGCCCAGUACCACCUACUGGACCACUUCCAUCUCAAGGCUGCUGAGGCAUUAAGCCUAUCCGGUCCAUCUCCAAAUGGGGUAGAGAGAACUGUGGGAUGACCUAAUAAUGCAGGCCAACACCCACCCACCUCCUAGAUCAUGAAGCCAAGACCAGCAGAGAUUCAUCAGCGUCACCGCCACCUUAGCAGCUACUCUACCAUUCACUGAGCCCUGAUUCGUGUCAAGCACCCCCCUUUUAGGCUUUUAUUCCAUCCUCACGACAAUCCUCUGAGGUACAUAUGAUGUUCAUUUUACAUCAUCUGACAUCCCCAAGACUUUACGCUGGUAUAAUGCCUAAGGUUGCACAACUGGUAGGUGGCAGAACCAGCAUUCACAGCAACUGUUCCAAAAUACCCAGCAAGUGAGUGCUAGAAUUUGGGCUGGACCCAGGUCUCCCAUCUCCCAGGUCAGUGCUUUUCCUGCGGUACCACCUCUUCCUGAAAUGAAGCUGGCAUGAGGAGCAUUCAGUGCGUUCUCAUGACUGAAGGCAGCUGAUUCAACUCCCAGCAUGCCUGCAUCUAAUUUUGCCCACCAGGUCUGUGGUCAUCCCCUUGGACAUGUUGACACAGACAGAGCUCUGUUCCAGCUCUUUAGGAACAGUCACGUUUCACUCACACACACCAAGUGACUAACUGAGAGCAGAAAACACCAGGAUAUGCCAGAUGAACCCACGACCCAGCCAGGCGGGGCUCCUCAGAGGGUCACCAAAUACCUCCUGCAACAGUCACCUGAGGUGCACAUUAAAGUGCAAAUCCAGGGUCGCCACCCCUAGACCUACCAAAUCAGCCUCUUGGGUCGCUGGUCUGGGAACCUGCAUUUUCACAAGCUCCAUGGGCGACUUAUGCCUUCUCAACUGAGAGAACCCCUCUCUGCUGAGGUUUCCCAGAGAUAGUGUCUACUGAGUCAUCAUACAGAACUGAAACAAUAUCCUCCCUAAUACCAUGUGAAAUGUACCCCCCAAAGAGUAUGUGUUUGCUCUUGGACGUUUUUUCAGAUGAUCUCCCCACCCGCAACCCCAAUGACCAUGUGGGGACAUUAGAGAAUCUCACUAUGGUCUUCUGAGGAGAUGCUCACAUCCUGAAUUCUCCCUUGGGGCCUCGGAUGCAUUCUACAUCUUGCUGGCUCCUGCCAGUUCACUCUAGUAAAGCUAUUUCAAUGGUUCUUUCCAAAGAGAGCGCGGGUUUGCAGGAAGUUCUGAGCAGACGACUUAAGAGAUGGUCCAGAUAAACUCCUGGUUCCUUGUUUGUGCUGUUGGAGUCUCCACUCAGAGGGUGGAGCCCUCGCUGCCACCACCGCACCCUUGCCCCCUCUAGUACGUGCACAGCGUGUCCCUGCAGCCUGUGUUCCCAUUAUAGCACUUGCUGAAGUUAUUCUCGAGCCUAACUCUCCCAGGAGAUUGUAAGAUUUUCUCUAAGACAAAAAUAGUGCCUUGGGCUGGUUAUGCAAUGCUUAGCACUUAGAAAUGCUUACUUGUAUAAAUACUUAUUUUUAAUUAAUUCAUAGCACCAAGCACCUUUCCUUAGGAUGAAGUUAUGAUGCAAAGGUUAUGGCCACCGCUUUGGCCCUGGAGUCAGUCUGCAGGUGAGUUGCACACACCUGCCCUUCGUCGUCACUUGCUGUUUGGCAAAUUGCCUUUGUUCCGUCUGCAAACCACCUCCAGGAGCCUGAGUGGCAUGGACAGAGCAAGGUUUGAGGAAAGAGGCACCUUGCUCCCAGACAGAUGUUUUUCAGCCUGGGAACCUACAGCGAAGGCCUAAUAGCCAAGAAUCCAGACAAAAACAGCAAGAUUCAACUUCUUCCUAUUCCUAUCUCCUUGACCAUUUGGCCUCAGAGGAGCUUAAGUGACCACUUACAGGACCAGAGGGUCUCCUCACCACAUUGCCAUGGUUUUUACUCCCUGGAGAAAGGAACACUAGAGAGAUUUACGGAUAGGCACAUGCUGGUGGAAGUCAGCAGGCUGUGUCAGCAAAGGGCAAACUGGAAACCCCGCUGGGUGCGGUUUUGAACUUACUCUUCAGCUGUGAUGUGGGAGCGGCCGUGCCCCAUCUUGGGGUAACCAUAGGUGAAGUAAGCUUCUUCUCUUGGCAUCUUGUGGGGUCAGGCCACAGGACACCUAACAGCAGGGGCACACAGGCAUCAUUUAAUGCAUCUGGAGCAUCCUUGCUCAUCAUCUCAUAAAGACCCACAAAGACGUUCCCACUAGGUGACCAUUAACGACAGCCGGGACCCUCUGCUUUCUCUCUGUGAGAGGAUUUAUACUUGCUUCUUUCACUGAUAUAAAGUAGAAAUUGCUCAGGUUUCUAACCCCUUCCACCAACUGAAAAUUAAGUUCACAGAAGAAACUACAAACAAAAGCAAAAAAUUUCCAAAUUCAGUUGUUAUUUGGGGGGAAAAUGUUCUUCAUUUGCUUUCAAUUUGACUCUAUACCAUAAACUUGUAGAGAAACAAAGGAAAAGCACUUUAGUCAUUCCUUACUUUUGCUGGCCCAGGACUGUGCUUAAUAAAAGAAGAGAAGUUAUUUUCCCCCAAAGGUAUAAUUUUAUAUCAAUCUUUGGACAAAUAGAAGGUUAUGUGUGUGUGGCCGAGCAUAGCAUCCUCCCAGCCGACUUUCCAGCAAGGGAAACUGCCCCAUAGAGAUGUCUGGGCUUCUCCACGUUCACUCCACCCAAAAUACGCCGAGGAAGCCCAUGACCUGACUUGGCCUAACAAUUUGUUUUCCCUCCCACCAAAAUCAAUUUCUACCUCUUCCUUGUUCAAGUCCAUGACUAGGGUUUAAAAAUAUUUUUUAUAUAUUUUUAAAUUAUUGUACAAAAUUUUAAACUAUAAAAUAAACAAAAAGCUCUUGAACCACA
Equus caballus (horse) is the source of this 10471-nucleotide non-coding RNA. The record is from RefSeq and is a predicted model, not a curated record. NCBI's taxonomy places the organism in Eukaryota, Metazoa, Chordata, Mammalia, Perissodactyla, Equidae.